Dipodomys ordii (Ord's kangaroo rat) is the source of this 266-nucleotide unclassified non-coding RNA. Its record names the gene 7SK. It matches the Rfam family "7SK RNA". Rfam says of the family: 7SK was discovered as an abundant small nuclear RNA in the mid-70s but a possible function has only recently been suggested. Two independent studies have found that 7SK RNA binds the CDK9/cyclin T complex (known as elongation factor P-TEFb). Lineage: Eukaryota; Metazoa; Chordata; Mammalia; Rodentia; Heteromyidae. The record is from Ensembl.
GGUUGUGAGGGCCAGCCGGCUGUAUGAUAUCUCUCAUUGCUCUGAUCACCACAGUUGAUUUGGUGUAUCUGGUUGGCUACGCAAAUACCUCCUUCUUUCUUUACUAUCCUUGUUUGCCCCUCUCAAAGCUGUACAAUUGGUAAAAGUGGACAACCAUCCCCCAGAAAGGAGGACAGUACAUGAAUAGCUGCCUGCUAGAACCUUCAUGAAAGUUCUCAAUAAAUAACUCAUACUAUUUAUAAUUUUAAUAGAUUUUUAUUGUGAAA